Non-coding RNA from Pelobates cultripes (western spadefoot toad), 261 nucleotides. The record is from the annotation of a GenBank genome assembly. Lineage: Eukaryota; Metazoa; Chordata; Amphibia; Anura; Pelobatidae.
CUAAUAAAGUUUAACUAAAGUGGCCAUGCAUAUCCAGAAACAGUUUGGAGCAAAACUGAAUGUCUAGCAUUAAAAAUCUAACUAAAGUGACCAUAGCAAUAUUAAUAAAAACAGUUGGAGCAAACUGAAAGUCAAUUAAUAAAGUUUAAUUAAAGUGACCAUUGCAAUAUCCAGAAAACCAGUUUGGAUGAAAACUGAAUGUCUAGCAUAAGGUGUCUAACUAGAGGGACCAUAGCAAUAUUAAUAAAAUAACAGUUUGGA